AACCCAUGGUGAGGGCACAUUCUCAGUAAGUCCUUAUAUCUCUCUCAUGCAUCAUGUAAGGUUGCUAAGUCCAUCUAUAGAAAGAAGGAGAUAUCAUUCCUCAAUUU
Molecule: non-coding RNA, 107 nt
Organism: Gossypium arboreum
Lineage: Eukaryota; Viridiplantae; Streptophyta; Magnoliopsida; Malvales; Malvaceae
Source: Rfam